CGAAGACUCAAAGUCUGGUUCAUCAGAUGAUGGAGCCGCAGCAGAUGCCACCAAGAAGGAGCUCUUAAGGGCUAUAGAGCUAAGACUUGAAGAUAUUAAAAAGGACUUAACAAUGUCCAUUUCUCAUGCAUCAGCUAGCGGUUUUGACCCUCAUACUGUUUCCGAAGUCAAAAUUUGCUGAUAAAUUUGGGUGAAGCAUGCAGAAAAUAUUUCUGACUAUGGAAGAAAAGGCCAGACUCGAUGGAUAUGAAGCACUCAAAUAAUCUGGCUAGUGUUGAUAAUGUUAGUCUUGAAAAAGAUGGCACGCGCCAGAAGAAACAGAACAUCAGAUGCAACAGUGUGCUAUAGCAAAAGGAAUUCAGAGGAGAAAACUGUUGAGAGUUUGGAUGUAACCUCUUCUACAGAUUGCAUGUAACGCCAGGCCUUCUGUUUUUGUAUGAACACAUUGAUUACAAUCCCAAAUCGAAACUGCGGUAUAC
This is a long non-coding RNA of Capsella rubella, 479 nucleotides long. RefSeq lists it as uncharacterized. The record is from RefSeq and is a predicted model, not a curated record. The transcript has 4 exons. Lineage: Eukaryota; Viridiplantae; Streptophyta; Magnoliopsida; Brassicales; Brassicaceae.